AUUGAACGCUGGCGGCAGGCUUAACACAUGCACGUCGAACGAGUGGCGGACGGGUGAGUAAUGCUUGGGAAUUUAGCUUCUGGAGGGCGAUAACUACGGGAAACUGUAGCUACUACCGCGUACCAUAGGAUGAGCCCAAGUGGGAUUAGUUAGUUGGUGAGGUAAAGGCUCACGCAGCCGACGAUCUCUAGCUGGUCUGAGAGGAUGACCAGCAACACUGGGACUGAGACACGGCCCAGACGCCUACGGGAGGCAGCAGUGGGGAAUAUUGCGCAAUGGGGGCAACCUGACGCAGCCAUGCCGCGUGAAUGAAGAAGGCCUUCGGGUUGUAAAGUUCUUUCGGUAGCGAGGCGUUAACUACAGAAGAAGCACCGGCUAACUCCGUGCCAGCAGCCGCGGUAAUUC
This 405-nucleotide ribosomal RNA is filed under the name uncultured bacterium. RNAcentral's name for it is "partial 16S ribosomal RNA". It matches the Rfam family "Bacterial small subunit ribosomal RNA", at positions 30 to 526 of the family's 1533-position model. The record is from RNAcentral.